This 230-nucleotide ribosomal RNA is filed under the name uncultured bacterium. RNAcentral describes it as "partial 16S ribosomal RNA". It matches the Rfam family "Bacterial small subunit ribosomal RNA", at positions 118 to 347 of the family's 1533-position model. The record is from RNAcentral.
UGAGGAACAUGACCUUCGGCGGGGGAUAGCCGGCCCAACGGCCGGGUAAUACCGCGUACGACCACAUGGGGACAUCCCUGAGUGGUGAAAGCAGCAAUGCGCCGAUGGAGUGCCUCGCGGCCUAUCAGCUAGUUGGUGAGGUAACGGCUCACCAAGGCAACGACGGGUAGCUGGUCUGAGAGGAUGGCCAGCCACAGUUGGGACUGAGACACGGCCCAGACUNACGGGAG